CUGUCAAAAGUGCGUGAGGCAAAUGGCGUUGAUAUUCUGUCUGCUGUUGCCCCUGUUCUGGGGCCAGGGGCACCUGUUUGAGCUGCAGGAGGCAAUCCAAGAGUUGCAGAUUGAGAAUACGGAGCUCCAAGGGAAAAUCCAGAACCUCACAGAGGCCCUGAGUGAACUCCAGGUCUUCGUUUGGAACCAAUCACAGGGUUCUGAGUCUGCUGCGGAACACCUUCACCAUGAGCACCUGCAAUGCCACCCAAAUGCCCACUGGCGCAAUACUGCUGCUGCCACCAUCUUGGCACCCUCUGUGAUAUGGCUUCUUGCUCUGAUGUUCUGGACAGUGACGUUGACAAAAGGUUGAGAAAUAUGCCCUCAUUUUUUGGAUGUGGUGGAAUCAUGGUGCAGUACUUCCUUUCCUCUACAGGGGGAGCUUUGACAUUUGCAAGGGUUUCUUAUGGAUUCUACCCCACCUUCUAUGAAAGCCUUCUGAUGGUGUCUUGUGUUGGACCCUCUUCCUCUUUCCUGCUCCAUUGCAGAUUCUGAUGGGCUCACUGGCACUAAUAGUGAAAGGUUACAAGUUCAAAUUUCUCCUUAUUCUAGUUUUAGUCCCGAUUCUGGAUUUCCUUUUAUUUUUAUUAUGCUUUGGCCUGUUUUGGAAUAAAGAUAUUGAUUAAGAAUCAAUUAUUAAGAAUCAGACAUUGAUUAACAAUCUGAGUCUGAGAUGAAAGAAGGUAUUAGCAUGGGAAUAAUAUACCUCAGGUCAAUCCAUCAAUUGCAUUUUUAUCCUCCCCCUAAGCUCCUGUUUUCCCAAGGAUCGUUCUGGUUGUGUACGUGAUUAUCCCUUCCUUCACUUUAUGUCACGACAACCUUGUGAGGUAUGUUAAGCCAAGAGAGUGAUUGGUUGUAUAGUCCAAUACCCCAAUCACUACAAUAUAUUGGCACACUGGUCUGUUAUAAACUGGCCUGAUUUCUAAUUCUUUUAAAAUCUUGCUUAAUUUAGCCAAUGGACAACUUAACUGCUACAAACGUAACUGAAUAUAUGCAAAUAUGUAAUGGCUGUUGACUAUUUUACAAGCAGUCCUAAUGUUUUUGUAUGUGGCUAUGGGAAAGAUUUAGCAGUGUCUUGACUGAGAAACUUUGAGAGAGAAGUUUUAAUGGAGUCUCCUCUAUGCAUUUUAAUCAACCUUAUUAAACAAUAAAAAAUGAUUAAUCACAA
This is a long non-coding RNA of Heteronotia binoei (common prickly gecko), 1207 nucleotides long. RefSeq lists it as uncharacterized. The transcript is spliced from 2 exons. The record is from RefSeq and is a predicted model, not a curated record. NCBI's taxonomy places the organism in Eukaryota, Metazoa, Chordata, Lepidosauria, Squamata, Gekkonidae.